GAUGAACGCUGACAGAAUGCUUAACACAUGCAAGUCGACUCGAGUCUUCGGACUUGGGUGGCGCACGGGUGAGUAACGCGUAAAGAACUUGCCUCUUAGACCGGGACAACAUCUGGAAACGGAUGCUAAUACCGGAUAUUAUGGUUUUUUCGCAUGGAGGAAUCAUGAAAGCUAGAUGCGCUAAGAGAGAGCUUUGCGUCCCAUUAGCUAGUUGGUGAGGUAACGGCCCACCAAGGCAAUGAUGGGUAGCCGGCCUGAGAGGGUGAACGGCCACAAGGGGACUGAGACACGGCCCUUACUCCUACGGGAGGCAGCAGUGGGGAAUAUUGGACAAUGGACCACAAGUCUGAUCCAGCAAUUCUGUGUGCACGAUGACGUUUUUCGGAAUGUAAAGUGCUUUCAGUCGGGAAGAAGUCAGUGACGGUACCGACAGAAGAAGCGACGGUUAAAUACGUGCCAGCAGCCGCGGUAAUACGUAUGUCGCAAGCGUUAUCCGGAUUUAUUGGGCGUAAAGCGCGUCUAGGCGGCAAGGAAAGUCUGAUGUGAAAAUGCGGAGCUCAACUCCGUAUGGCGUUGGAAACUGCCUUACUAGAGUACUGGAGAGGUAGGCGGAACUACAAGUGUAGAGGUGAAAUUCGUAGAUAUUUGUAGGAAUGCCGAUGGGGAAGCCAGCCUACUGGACAGAUACU
Molecule: ribosomal RNA, 689 nt
Filed under: uncultured Fusobacteriota bacterium
Lineage: Bacteria; Fusobacteriati; Fusobacteriota
Description: bacterial SSU rRNA
Rfam family: Bacterial small subunit ribosomal RNA
Source: RNAcentral